UAGGGAAUCUUCCGCAAUGGACGCAAGUCUGACGGAGCAACGCCGCGUGAGUGAAGAAGGAUUUCGGUUCGUAAAACUCUGUUGUUAGAGAAGAACAGCGCAUAGAGUAACUGUUAUGCGUGUGACGGUAUCUAACCAGAAAGCCACGGCUAACUACGUGCCAGCAGCCGCGGUAAUACGUAGGUGGCAAGCGUUGUCCGGAUUUAUUGGGCGUAAAGCGAGCGCAGGCGGUCAAUUAAGUCUGAUGUGAAAGCCCCCGGCUCAACCGGGGAGGGUCAUUGGAAACUGGUUGACUUGAGUGCAGAAGGGGAGAGUGGAAUUCCAUGUGUAGCGGUGAAAUGCGUAGAUAUAUGGAGGAACACCAGUGGCGAAAGCGGCUCUCUGGUCUGUAACUGACGCUGAGGCUCGAAAGCGUGGGGAGCGAACAGG
Molecule: ribosomal RNA, 429 nt
Filed under: Bacteroidota bacterium
Lineage: Bacteria; Pseudomonadati; Bacteroidota
Description: Bacteroidetes bacterium partial 16S ribosomal RNA
Rfam family: Bacterial small subunit ribosomal RNA
Source: RNAcentral